Odocoileus virginianus texanus is the source of this 7781-nucleotide non-coding RNA. The record is from RefSeq and is a predicted model, not a curated record. NCBI's taxonomy places the organism in Eukaryota, Metazoa, Chordata, Mammalia, Artiodactyla, Cervidae.
UCUCCGUUCGUCUGUCAGAGAAGGACGCUUUCCUUUGCUUCUAAAGCUAACUCAGUCACAUUCUGUCAGCUCAAAGGACACCGAGCAGAAGGACCGUUCAUAAGGAAAGUCCUUGACUUAAUAAGCAAAGGAAAAAUGUAUGCUGCGGUUCCUGAAGAUCUCUGAUUUAAGUUUAAACAAAGAAGGCUUCUUUGAAAGGUCCAAGUAAGAAAUGCCAAGCUAAGGAGGAUGGAGCUGGCCUGGGAGCUUUGUGAGUUAUCAGGGGCAUCCCUCAAGUCACAGGAGCUCCACUGACAAACAAAUGGGAAAUACCAGGAAAGCAAUGCUUGCCAGCUGCAAAGAUGUCAGGCUCAGACUCCUUUUGAAGUUAAUAGGAGGUGACUAAACUGAGGCCGAGAGAGAUUUUGGUGAAAAUAAGAGCACACAGCAGGUGACCUCAACAAGAUGUUCUUCCUUCAGAGAAGAUUUCUGUAGGGGCCCAGUUAUUACAGAAUACAGUCUCCCCUCCUGCAUUCAGCGAGAUUAUUAGAGACCCUGAGCGAAUACGACAUCGCGUCUCCCGUCCGAGUGAACGCUCUUGGAGAACCCUUUCCCAGGAACGUACACUUCAAAAGAAGGCGACGAAGCAUUAACUCUGCCUCUGACCCCUGGCCUGGCUUCGCCUCCUCCUCUUCCUCCGCUACCUCCUCCCAGGAGCAUUACCGCCUCUCCGCCUUUGGCCAGCAAUUUCUAUUUAAUCUCACCGCCCAUGCUGGAUUUAUCGCUCCAAUGUUCACUGUCACCCUCCUUGGGGCACCCGGGGUGAACCAGACUAAGUUUUAUUCCGAGGAGGAAGCGGAACUCAAGCACUGUUUCUACAAAGGCCAUGUCAAUACCAAGUCAGAGCACAGGGCCGUCAUCAGCCUCUGCUCGGGAAUGCUGGGCACAUUUCGGUCCCAUGAUGGGGAUUAUUUUAUUGAACCACUACUGUCCAUUGAUGAACAAGAAGAUGAAGAGGCGCAGAACAAACCCCACAUUAUCUACAGGCACAGCAGCCCCCAUAGAGAGCCGGCAGCAGGACGGCAUGCAUGUGACACCUCAGAACAUAGAAAUAGUCACAGUAAGGACAAGAGGAAAACGAGGACAAGAAAAUGGAGAGGGAGGAGUAGCCUGGCUGAUGACAUGGCUGUGUUAAGUAGCAGCUUAACCACAAGCACGCUUCCUGCCAAUGGUAGCAAAACAGACAGCACACGGGAGAAGGGGACCCACAGAAGAACAAAACGUUUUUUAUCCUAUCCACGGUUUGUAGAAGUGAUGGUGGUAGCAGACAACAGAAUGGUUUUAUACCAUGGAGCAAACCUUCAACAUUAUAUUUUAACUUUAAUGUCAAUUGUAGCCUCUAUCUAUAAAGACCCAAGUAUUGGAAAUUUAAUUAAUAUUGUUAUUGUGAAUUUAGUUGUGAUUCAUAAUGAACAGGAAGGACCUUCCAUAUCUUUUAAUGCUCAGACAACAUUAAAAAACUUUUGCCAGUGGCAGCAUUCAAAGAACCAUCCAGGUGGAAUCCAGCAUGAUACAGCGGUUCUUGUAACGAGACAGGAUAUCUGCAGAGCUCAUGACAAAUGUGAUACAUUAGGUCUGGCUGAGCUGGGAACCAUUUGUGACCCAUACAGAAGCUGCUCUAUCAGUGAAGAUAGCGGAUUGAGUACAGCUUUUACAAUAGCCCAUGAGCUGGGCCAUGUGUUCAACAUGCCUCAUGAUGACAACAAUAAGUGCAAAGAAGAAGGAAUCAAGAGCCCCCAGCACGUCAUGGCCCCAACAUUGAACUUCAACACCAACCCCUGGAUGUGGUCAAAGUGCAGUCGAAAAUAUAUCACUGAAUUUUUAGACACUGGUUACGGCGAAUGUUUGCUUAACGAACCUGAAUAUAGACCCUAUCCUUUGCCUCAUCAACUGCCAGGCCUCCUCUACAACGUGAAUAAACAAUGUGAAUUGAUUUUUGGACCAGGUUCUCAGGUGUGCCCAUAUAUGAUGCAGUGCAGACGGCUCUGGUGCAAUAACGUGGAUGGGGCGCACAAAGGCUGCCGGACUCAGCACACACCCUGGGCUGACGGAACCGAGUGUGAAGAGCCUGGAAAGCACUGCAAGUUUGGAUUUUGUGUUCCCAAAGAAAUGGAGGUCCCUGUGACUGAUGGAUCCUGGGGAAGUUGGAGUCACUUUGGAACCUGCUCAAGAACAUGUGGAGGGGGCAUCAAAACAGCCAUUCGAGAGUGCAACAGACCAGAGCCCAAAAAUGGUGGCAAGUAUUGUGUAGGGCGCAGAAUGAAAUUUAAGUCCUGCAACACAGAGCCGUGUCCCAAGCAGAAGCGAGACUUCCGAGACGAACAGUGUGCUCACUUUGACGGAAAGCAUUUCAACAUCAACGGUCUACAUCCGAAUGUGCGCUGGGUCCCAAAGUACAGUGGAAUUUUGAUGAAGGACCGCUGCAAGCUGUUCUGCAGGGUGGCAGGGAGCACAGCCUACUAUCAGCUCCGUGACAGAGUGAUAGAUGGAACACCGUGUGGCCAGGACACCAAUGACAUCUGUGUCCAAGGCCUGUGCCGGCAAGCUGGAUGCGAUCAUGUUUUAAACUCAAAAGCCCGGAGAGAUAAAUGUGGGGUUUGUGGUGGCGAUAAUUCUUCAUGCAAAACAGUGGCAGGAACAUUUAACACAGUACAUUAUGGUUACAACGUUGUGGUACUAAUUCCAGCUGGUGCUACCAAUAUCGAUGUGCGGCAGCACAGUUUCUCAGGGAAAUCAGAGGAUGAUAACUACUUAGCUUUAUCAAGCAGUAAAGGUGAAUUCUUGCUCAAUGGAGACUUUGUCGUCACGAUGUCCAAAAGGGAAAUCCGUAUUGGGAAUGCUGUGAUAGAAUACAGCGGGUCCGACAAUGUUGUGGAAAGAAUCAACUCCACAGGUCGCAUUGAACAAGAACUUCUGCUUCAGGUGUUGUCGGUGGGAAAGUUAUACAACCCCGAUGUGCGCUAUUCUUUCAAUAUUCCUAUUGAAGACAAACCCCAACAGUUUUACUGGAACAGUCAUGGACCCUGGCAAGCAUGCAGCAAACCCUGCCAAGGCGAGCGGAAACGAAAACCUGUUUGCACCAGGGAAUCUGAUCAGCUUACGGUUUCUGAUCAAAGAUGUGAUCGACUGCCUCAGCCGGCACCCAUUACUGAACCUUGUGGCACAGACUGUGACCUGAGGUGGCACGUGGCCAGCAGGGGUGAAUGUAGUGCCCAGUGUGGUUUAGGUUACCGCACAUUAGACAUCUACUGUGCCAAGUACAGCAGGCUCGAUGGGAAGACUGAGAAGGUUGAUGACGGCUUUUGUAGUAGUCACCCCAAACCAAGCAACCAGGAAAAAUGCUCAGGAGAGUGUAACACUGGAGGCUGGCGCUAUUCAGCUUGGACUGAAUGUUCUAAAAGCUGUGAUGGUGGAACCCAGAGGAGAAGGGCUAUUUGUGUCAACACCCGUAAUGAUGUACUGGAUGACAGCAAAUGCACUCAUCAAGAGAAAGUCACCAUUCAGAAGUGCAGUGAGUUAUCCUGUCCAGAGUGGAAAUCAGGAGACUGGUCAGAGUGCUUGGUCACCUGCGGAAAAGGGCAUAAGCACCGCCAGGUCUGGUGUCAGUUUGGCGAAGAUCGAUUAAAUGAUAGGAUCUGUGACCCUGAGACCAAACCAACCUCCAUGCAGACCUGUCAGCAGCCAGAAUGUGCGUCCUGGCAGGCGGGUCCCUGGGGACAGUGCAGUGUCACUUGUGGACAGGGAUACCAGCUAAGAGCAGUGAAGUGCACCAUUGGGACUUACAUGUCAGUGGUGGAUGACAGUGACUGCAACGCAGCGACUAGACCAACUGACACCCAGGACUGUGAGUUGCCAUCUUGUCACCCUCCCCCAGCUGCCCCGGAAGCAAGGAGAAGCACACACAGUGCACCACGGACCCAGUGGCGAUUUGGGUCCUGGACUCCAUGCUCAGCCACUUGUGGAAAAGGUACCCGGAUGAGAUAUGUCAGCUGUCGGGAUGAGGACGGUUCUGUGGCUGAUGACAGUGCCUGUGCGACCCUGCCUAGACCAGUGGCAAAGGAGGAAUGUUCUGUGACUCCCUGCGGGCAAUGGAAGGCCCUGGACUGGAACCCUUGCUCCGUGACAUGUGGGCAAGGUAGGACGACCCGGCAAGUGGUCUGUGUCAACUACAGUGACCACGUGAUCGAUCAAAGUGAGUGCGACCCAGAUUAUGUCCCAGAAACUGACCAGGACUGUUCCAUGUCACCAUGCCCUCAGUGGACCCCAGACACAGACCUUUCUCAGAACCCUUUCCUGAAUGAGGACUAUCACCCCAGGAGCAUCAGCCCUAGCCGCACCCACGUGCUCGGAGGAAAUCAGUGGAGGACAGGCCCCUGGGGAGCGUGUUCCAGUACCUGUGCUGGUGGGUCCCAGCGGCGUGUCGUUGUGUGUCAGGACGAGAAUGGAUACACUGCCAACGACUGCGUGGAGAGAAUCAAACCUGAUGAGCACAGAGCCUGCGAAUCUGGCCCUUGCCCUCAGUGGGCUUAUGGCAGCUGGGGAGAGUGUACCAAGCUGUGUGGUGGAGGCUUGAGAACAAGGCUGGUGGUCUGUCAGAGGCCCAGCGGGGAACGAUUUCCGGAUCUGAGCUGUGAAAUUCUUGACAAGCCUCCAGAUCGAGAGCAAUGUAACACACAUGCUUGUCCUCAAGAUGCUGCCUGGAGUGCUGGCCCUUGGAGUUCGUGUUCUGUCUCUUGUGGUCGAGGGCAUAAACAACGAAAUGUUUACUGCAUGGCAAAAGAUGGAAGCCAUUUAGAAAGUGAUUACUGUAAACACCUUGCUAAGCCAAAUGGGCACAGAAAGUGCCGAGGAGGAAGAUGCCCCAAGUGGAAGGCUGGCGCCUGGAGUCAGUGCUCCGUGUCCUGUGGCCAAGGCGUGCGGCGGAGAAAUGUGGGCUGUCAGAUGGGAACGCACAAAAUAGCCAGAGAGACCGAAUGCAACCCCUACACUCGACCGGAGUCGGAGCGCGCCUGCCAAGCCCCGCCGUGUCCGCUCUACGCAUGGAGGGCAGAGGAAUGGCGAGAAUGCACCAAGACUUGUGGUGAAGGCUCCAGGUACCGGAAGGUGGUAUGUGUGGAUGAGGACAAAGGUGGUGAGGUUCACGGCAUGCACUGCGACAUGAGCACACGGCCUGUGGACCGUGAGAGCUGUAGUCUGCAGCCCUGCGAGUAUGUCUGGAUCACAGGAGAAUGGUCAGAGUGCUCAGUGACCUGUGGAAAAGGCUACAAACAAAGGCUGGUCUCCUGUAGUGAGAUUUACACCGGGAAGGAGAAUUACGAGUACAGCUACCAAACCACCAUCAACUGCCCAGGCAUGCAGCCACCCAGUGUCCAGCCCUGCUUCCUGCGAGAGUGCCCUGUGUCGGCCACCUGGAGAGUGGGCAACUGGGGGAGCUGCUCCGUGUCGUGUGGCGUGGGAGUGAUGCACAGGUCUGUGCAGUGUCUCACCAAUGACGACCAGCCCAGCCACUUAUGCUCUGCUGACCUGAAGCCAGAAGAAAGAAAAACCUGCCACAAUAUCUAUAACUGUGAGCUGCCCCAGAACUGUAAGGAAGUGAAAAGGCUGAAAGGUGCCGGCGAAGAUGGGGAAUACUUCCUGAUUGUCACAGGAAAGCUCCUGAAGGUCUUCUGUGCAGGGAUGCACUCUGACCACCCCAAGGAGUAUGUGACACUGGUCCAUGGCGACUCUGAGAAUUUUUCUGAGGUUUACGGGCACAGGUUGCACAACCCAACCGAAUGCCCCUACAACGGGAGCCGACGUGAUGACUGUCAGUGUCGGAAGGACUACACAGCGGCUGGGUUCUCCAGCUUCCAGAAGGUCAGAAUAGAUCUGACCACCAUGCAGAUCAUCACCACUGACUUACAAUUUGCCAGGACCAAUGAAGGACAUCCCGUCCCCUUUGCCACUGCUGGGGACUGCUACAGUGCCGCCAAGUGCCCACAGGGUCGUUUUAGCAUCAACCUUUACGGAACCGGUUUGUCUCUAACUGAAUCUGCCAGAUGGAUCUCCCAAGGGAAUUACGCCGUCUCUGACAUCAAGAAGUCUCCGGAUGGUAUCCGGGUCAUCGGGAAAUGUGGUGGUUACUGUGGAAAAUGUGCUCCGUCCUCUGGCACUGGCCUGGAGAUUCGAGUUUUAUAGUUAAGAGAUUGAUGGUGUCCUGGAAAAUGAGAGCUUUCCAAAGAGAUCUAAAGAACAGCUAAUAGGGGUGUGUGAUGCUUUCUUACCACAGAUCAUGGCUAUUCAAACUGUGUCCCAUAGACCAACAGCAUUGACAUUACCUGGGAGCGUGUUCAAAAUGCAGAAUCUUGGGCCGCAGCCGAGACCUACUGAAUCAGAAGCUACAUUUAAGAAGAUAACCCAGGCUCCUUCCCUCCGGAUUUCAUUCUGUUUAUAAAUAUUGAAGCUGAAAUGUAAACCACUUUGAAACUCUUCUCCCGAAGGCCUGCAUGUCCUGUUCCUGGAACAGUGGGACGACAAAAGGCAACUGGGUAUCUUGCAGUGCCACCUCCGAGCUGAGUGAUCCAGGGCACGUUGCUUCCGAUGUCUGAGCCCCAGUUUCCCCAUCACUAAGGUACCUACAGCAGACAAGAAAUAUGCAUUAUAAAAUACAGCUCUUCUAGUAUCACCUACGGGGUGCUCUAACUAUGCAGCCGCCACUAGACUGUGACAUCAUCAUUGAAAAUUAGCAAAAGAUACCCCUUUUCAGAGUUCACAGCUCCACAAACAAACAGCUUGAGAAAGGGCCAUCUGGUUUGAUGAUUUUUUGGCUUGGAGGAGAGAACACGAAAGACAAGUAUAAGCUUUAAUACUCAAGAGACCUGAUUCUCUGCUGAAGAGGAAAUGAACUCCAUAUCCAGGAGAAUUCUGCCAGGAAGGAGCCAAAUAGACCAUGCUCUCUGGAGGGUUCUCAGCGGUGCUGUGAACACCAUUUUAACUCUCCUUUUGGUCGUUUCCAAGGAUUGAGAGAAAUACCAGUUCCUAUAUCAAACUACUGUCCUCAUUUGCAGGAUGCUUUUCAAGCACAGAGUAAGGCAACUGGUGAAAUACCAGGAAGCUCCUUUACUCUCCUUUUCAUGAUUCCUAUUCCUGUGACCAAAGGCGUGACAGGAAAACAGUGUAACCACGACUUGAGAGCAAGGGGCAGCCUUGAAGACAGUACUAUGUGGACAGAUCCCUGAGGUCUCCUGCAAUUGUGUAGGAAGAGGGCAUCAGUGGCUUCACUUGGUUUAACAGUCACAGCUUUAGACAAGAAAAAAAUGUAAAAGUCAAAAUGCGAAAGACAGGCACAUGUAGACCAAGAGAAGGAGAGAUAAACAGCCCUUUGCUUCACUUGAUCCACAUUUGAUGUUAGAAGGCUUCAGACAACAAGGACACAAUUCUCAAUCUAGUUGACCGGACUGGGGCGGAUCGAGAGAGGCCAGCCAUGUAACGCCUGUGGUGACCAGUGCCCAGGGUUUGCCUUGCAUAAAUGGAGAACCUUAGACCUAGGAAGCCUCUUGGAGACUACCUGGAAUAUCCGGUUGAGAACACUGAUUGGCAGGGAGAGGAAGUUCACUAUUCUAAGCAAACGUUUUUACUGGCAGAUCCAAGACCAGAAUUUGGAUCUAAUGUGGUGGUUUCCAAAGGCCCAGGUCCUGUAUGAGGACUCCAGAGCGCCUGCUGUAAAGAUGUUUUGGAAUCCCACCUCUGUCACUGCCCAGUUG